AUGCAGAACCCACAGUGGUAUGUUGUUUGGGGCAAGGACAUGAACAUGAGGAUCCUCCCAGAGUACGUCGUCAGCUUCAAGUGUCCCAACCUCCAUCAGAUGCAAGGAUCAUCGGGAGCGAACUCCACACUAAAGAAGCCUUCGCCGGUGGCUCAUGACAUGUUUCCGACGCUUCUAGCAGAGAUCCAGUGGUUCAUGCCAUCUUCCAAGCUGCAGAUUGCAGGGGACCUACAAUUGCUUCAAGCCAGCUGCAAUGAAGUCCUCCAUAGAGAAGGGUUUGCAGAAAAUGAUCUUGGCAUCCCAGAUAAGCAGGUUGGGGUCAAAGCCGGUGCCCGGGGGAUUUCAAUGGAUCACCAACACGAGAAACUGAAAUGGCAGGACCAGAAAAGAUGGUCCCAGAUCUCACUGCAGCCGGAUGUGCAAGAACACAUCAAUGAUCAUCUGUGA
Molecule: ribosomal RNA, 447 nt
Filed under: Triticum aestivum (bread wheat)
Lineage: Eukaryota; Viridiplantae; Streptophyta; Magnoliopsida; Poales; Poaceae
Description: partial small subunit ribosomal RNA
Source: RNAcentral